RNAcentral lists this long non-coding RNA (1273 nucleotides) under Homo sapiens (human). RNAcentral's name for it is "HSALNT0327909". Lineage: Eukaryota; Metazoa; Chordata; Mammalia; Primates; Hominidae. The record is from RNAcentral.
ACGCAGGACGUCCUCUAAAGCAACUUCCGUGGGUGCCAGGUUGUGGGCUGGGGGCGGUGCUGACCUUGAGAGAGCGGAGGAGGCGCAGGCGCAGCACAGUUUAAACUUGAUUUUGUGAGGGGACGAACAGCGUGACAAUUAAAAGAAGAUCUGGGAAUCAAAAGCUUCCUGAGGCCUUCACCAGAAGCAGAUGCUGGUGCCGUGCUUCUACAGCCUGCAGAACUGAAGGACUUUACAGCUUCUCUUUCGCAUAUCCAAAUUGCCAGCAUCACCGCUCUUGCACUCCAAGCCAUUAUUAAGUAAAGUAAAGAACACAAACACUGUGAUACUGCUACACUUGAUCUGAUAACCAAGAAGUCUACUAAGUGACUAACAGCAGAGCAACUGGGAACCUAAUUCUGACCAAAAAGGAGGAAUUGUUUGGCUAAUUGGAAGUGACAGAAACCUUGGGAGAAAGCAACCGCAUACCAAGGAUAAUUAUAAGAAGAAGAGAAGACAUGGAGAAGAGGAGGGAGUAGUUGUGACCGUGGAGGCAGAGAAUGGAGUAAUGUGAUCAUAAAUCAAGGAAUGCUGACAGCCACUAAAGCUGGAGAAGGCCAAGGACAGAUAUUCAAUCCUCCCGUAGAAGUACAGCCCUGCUAAUGCAUUGAUUUUGGACUUCUGGCCUCAGAACUGUCUGGAAAGCAUGGAAAUUUGUAUCUUCAUUCACUUUUGUUUUCAUGGACUCUUUUCAUGUUUGAACUUUUCAUGAUCCAAUGUGAUAAUUUAUGUGAAAUCUUUCUGCAAACUAUACAGUAUGAUAAAAAUAUAAGGUAGUUUCACUGGAAACAACAGAAGACUAGAAGCUGAUGUGACGUGGCAAUAUCAACCAGGAAUACCCAUCUCGAGUUCUGGAUAUGUGCUCUGAGAAGGUGCCCAUGUCACCGACCACACUGGAGGCCAAUGCAGAUACUGGGGGAAGGUUCCAUGGUAGCUAAGUGUGGACAAGCUAAUCACUGAAGUUCCCUGAUGCAGAGUUGAUAAUCUCUCUAGAGUUGGAUGAAAGACUGUGCUGCCUUGAAGCUCUGAGAGAUGCCAUGCCAAUUCAAGGCAGGGUCUUUAUUGUUGAAACUCUUGCGUAAUGACAUCUUUAUUCAGGUGAAAAUACAGGAUGAAUUUCAACUAUAUGAUAUUGUUUAUGUUCCUCAGACAUGUUAUUUGUCUUUACAAAGAUUGGUUUCAAUAAACUGUGUGACUGAUAUUAAAUAAACAUGGAAUUUUACACAUUCAUAAU